CUCCCCGGGGUCUGGCUCCUCGGCUCUUGUAAGUGAACUGAAAGCCAGGGGUCUGUAGACCUUCAAAGGGUAGUUGCUCUCAGCAAAGACCUUUGAUUCCUUGACUAAGAGAUUGGUAGAGGAGCAGUACCUGGAAAAUUCAAGAAGAGCUCCAAAUUUUUGUUGAACACAACAAACAAUAGCCUUUACUUUUGUAACCAGUCUAGC
This is a non-coding RNA of Sturnus vulgaris (Common starling), 207 nucleotides long. The record is from RefSeq and is a predicted model, not a curated record. NCBI's taxonomy places the organism in Eukaryota, Metazoa, Chordata, Aves, Passeriformes, Sturnidae.